This 89-nucleotide transfer RNA is filed under the name Chitinophagaceae bacterium. RNAcentral's name for it is "tRNA-Ser". It matches the Rfam family "tRNA". From Rfam's summary of the family: Transfer RNA (tRNA) molecules are approximately 80 nucleotides in length. Their secondary structure includes four short double-helical elements and three loops (D, anti-codon, and T loops). RNAcentral also lists the same sequence under 2 other names. The record is from RNAcentral. Lineage: Bacteria; Pseudomonadati; Bacteroidota; Chitinophagia; Chitinophagales; Chitinophagaceae.
GGAAAGAUGCCGGAGUGGUUGAACGGGACGGUCUCGAAAACCGUUUCCCGAUGGAAAUCGGGACGAGGGUUCGAAUCCCUCUCUUUCCG